This is a non-coding RNA of Picea glauca (white spruce), 125 nucleotides long. The record is from Rfam. Lineage: Eukaryota; Viridiplantae; Streptophyta; Pinopsida; Pinales; Pinaceae.
UAUGUAAAUUAUUACAACAUAGUGUUAAUGCACUAAAUCCCAUUAGAAAUCUACAGGUAAGGGAACUCGAGCUAGAGUAGUACUAGGAUGGGUGACCACUCGGGAAGUCCUAGUGUUUUACAUGC